Molecule: ribosomal RNA, 304 nt
Filed under: uncultured soil bacterium
Lineage: Bacteria
Description: bacterial SSU rRNA
Rfam family: Bacterial small subunit ribosomal RNA
Source: RNAcentral
AGGACGAACGCUGGCGGCGUGCUUAACACAUGCAAGUCGCGCGGUAAGGCCUUUCGGGGUACACGAGCGGCGAACGGGUGAGUAACACGUGGGUGAUCUGCCCUGCACUUCGGGAUAAGCCUGGGAAACUGGGUCUAAUACCGGAUAUGACCUCCUAUCGCAUGGGUGGGUGGUGGAAAGAUUUAUCGGUGCAGGAUGGGCCCGCGGCCUAUCAGCUUGGUUGGUGGGGUAAUGGCCUACCAAGGCGACGACGGGUAGCCGACCUGAGGAGGGUGACCCGGCCACCGACGUGGGACUGAGACGA